Molecule: ribosomal RNA, 468 nt
Filed under: uncultured bacterium
Lineage: Bacteria
Description: partial 16S ribosomal RNA
Rfam family: Bacterial small subunit ribosomal RNA
Source: RNAcentral
GACGAACGCUGGCGGCGUGCUUAACACAUGCAAGUCGAACGGAAAGGCCCUGCUUUUGUGGGGUGCUCGAGUGGCGAACGGGUGAGUAACACGUGAGUAACCUGCCCUUGACUUUGGGAUAACUUCAGGAAACUGGGGCUAAUACCGGAUAGGAGCCCCUGCUGCAUGUUGGGGGUUGGAAAGUUUCGGCGGUUGGGGAUGGACUCGCGGCUUAUCAGCUUGUUGGUGGGGUAGUGGCUUACCAAGGCUUUGACGGGUAGCCGGCCUGAGAGGGUGACCGGCCACAUUGGGACUGAGAUACGGCCCAGACUCCUACGGGAGGCAGCAGUGGGGAAUAUUGCACAAUGGGCGGAAGCCUGAUGCAGCAACGCCGCGUGCGGGAUGACGGCCUUCGGGUUGUAAACCGCUUUCGCCUGUGACGAAGCGUGAGUGACGGUAAUGGGUAAAGAAGCACCGGCUAACUACGUG